CCUCCUGGCUGCUGCUUAUAACAGAGCGACAGGUGAUUAGAUAACAAGGCCCAGGUGGGCCAUCUACGCAGCUCUUGCUGAUUUCGAGGCCAUUCCUGGCACACCCCAGUUCGCUGCAGGCCCGCGGGCCACGCCCCCUCCACAGUUAGCUUCAGAAUAGCAAUGUUAUCACAAAGAAUAAGGGACCUAUUAUACUCUAGAAAUGUUGGUCUUACUUAAAAAUGCACGCGUUUAGUUGUGUUCAGUGUUAAAAUAUUAUAUGUCUCUUACGGAAAUACAUUUUAAAAUAUUUGGCUUUUUGGCUCUCUCAGCCAAAAAGGUUCCCGACCCCUGCCCUAAGGGUUCACAUAAAACAAAACUUGGAAUUCCAUCUUGCAUAAGUUGAGAGAAAAGCAACUAUUGUGAGACUAAAUGAUUAACACUUCAUUUUAAUAUAAUCAUUACACAUUAUUCCAGCAGUGCCUAUAAAACACCACUAGAUGCCAGCAUUGCUCAUCAAACAAUAAAGGUCUUGAAAAGAUGAGCACCUGAUGAUGUGUUUGACAGAAAAGCAGCUGGAAGGAGGGACCGAUGCUGUUCAUAAACUACUGUACAUUUGGUUCUAUUGUUUUUCAUACUUUAUUUCUUAUCUGAAUGUGUAUUUUUCUUUUUAAAAAGGCAUGUGAAGGUGUUAAAACUGUGCUGUUUUGAGGGGCCAAGCAUCGAUUCCAUUGAUUAAUUUCAUCACAAUGGGAAGAAACUGAUUGAAGUGUUUUGGGUUGAGAGCUCUGUCAGGUAAGCCUUUAAGCUUGCGAGUUCAAACUUGUAUGUCGGUGAUGCUCUGCUUCUUCCUGCUCCUUCUCGGACACGUUGAAGCGUGCAAGUGUGGAUGUGUGCUGCAUCAGCAUGUAAACACAAACUCACAGCAUAUCCAUGAUAUCAACAUCUUACUUGACCAAGCCUGACGUGUUCUUCAGCACCGUGGAUGCAAACAGCUGCGACACGCCCAGCAAACUGACUCCAUCCACCUCCACGAUCUGGUCAUUCACCUGGAUCCUAAGGUAAAGGCAAACAAUUGACGUCCAUGGCACCUAGUUUCCAGAGGCUACAUUUAAUGGAAGAUGCUGCCACAAAACAGCACGAUAAAACUGCCAUUUUACAUUUAAAGUCUCCGCCUGUAUAUUUCUAGUAUGUGCACAGCUGAGAAGUGGUCAGCCUUGCUUCCUCUGACAUCAUCCAUCAUUUGGGCUAACCAACUCCCCUUGAAAUGUCCAGCAUGCACUUAUAUUCCCAAAGUCUUGUGUUGAGUUUCUAAUCAUGUUCAUCCAGGCCACAUAUAAGCCAUAUUUGAUUUCCUAAGAAAAAAGACUGGCAGAUAUGGCAACGUACCUGCCAUCUUUGUGUGUUUGGCCUCCUUCGGUGACAGUCUUGACAAAGAUUCCGAGUUUUUCCAGGCCCUGGUCCGCUCCUACUCCCAUCCCUAUGAUACUGAUACCCAGGCCAUCGUCUCCUGGAGGUUUGGGGAAAGAGACCAAGCUUCUUGUGAUGAUUUGUUAUGUGUGAGGCAUGGCUUUCUCUUUAGUUUUCUGAUCUGGCAGAAAAAGACAAACCCUUUUGUAUUUCCACUUGAAAAACAUCCAUCUUGUCCACUCGCUUCUCCAGCUCGUACUCGGCCGAGGCGGACACGGGGUCGAUGUCUUCAUUGUGUCGGUGGUAGUCCGCGUUGGAGUAGGUGUUGUAGACCUGGGCGUGACGAAGAGCACACAAGUGAACUGACAGUAGCUGAGCUGUGAAGACACACACCCGCAUGCUACACUUCUUUAUGUUCCCAAGAAGCUCAAAAGUGAGUUCCUUUACAGACUGCAGCAGUUUAUGCUGAUGGAACCCUGACAGAGUCAAGCAAGUAGGAUCUGGGAUUUCCUCCACCCCGACAAUGCAAACAUGGCUCUGGCCUAACGUUUCUGCACAAACACAAGCUUGGUAUCGCUAUAAAAAACACUGAACUUUCAAAAACAUCUCCUCACCUUGAUUGGUGCUGAUGAGAAGCAGACUUUUCGACUUGAGUUUUCUGCUGCAUCUCCAUCAUCUCCAUCAGGCAGUUGAGGAAUGCCGGGAAUUUCUUGGUAUUCCAAUGAAAGCAAAGAAGUGUCCACACCUCGCACGGGAGAUGUUACAUCACACUCCUGUCCUGGAGAUUUGACCUCCCUGCCUCCUUCAACCUUUCCAUCGUCAUCUUCUGCCAAUACCUUCUGCUCCAUGACGGCACAUUCCUGCAGCUCAGGUGUCACCUUCCCCGCCUUUGUAGACCUUAGGCUCUGCACUUCAACCAUCCCAUAGAGCUCCUCUCUUGGCUCGUCAGCAUGUCGGUUCAGCUCCUCCCUCUCAGUCUCACGACAUUGUUGGCUCACUUGCUCGUAGUUGUCAGCUAUCUUAGGACAGUCACUUGUGUUUAGUCCCACCGUCUCCACACUGGGCUCUUCAAAAACUUCAUCCACCAGCUCUUCAACAUUUUCCCCCAUCAGCUCAUCACUUUUAAUCGCGACCCAUUCCUUCUCCUCGCUUUCAUCGCUAUCCGAGGACUUCACGUAGACAAGCUCAGCCCUGAGUGGCUCUUCAGGGUUCAAGCAUGGCUCCACAAUCAUUUCUUUGGCCUCUUCUUCUCUUUGAGUUUCGGAGCCUACACAGGAAGGAGACCCACCGAGGAGAUUGGAUGUAAGAGAUUUAGGGUCUGUUGUUGGAAUGCACAUAUUUCUAGUGAGUUCUUUUGUGCAUUUGUCUGGAACCAAGCUCUCUUUUUCUUUGCUCAGACUACAUCUGGACACCUGAGCCGGAGAAGUGCCCGUGGAAACCUUGGUCUCAAACAACUUCCUGGUCACAGAGAACUUUUGGGCCAGGGCAGCUCUGUCUAUAUCCCUCAUCUCCUCUGAUCUGGCUGCUUUAUCUUGCAAGAAGGCUUCAGGUGUGCAAAUGCUGGCGACAGAACCCAUGACCGGACGUCUGCAGGCAGAAAAAGGUGACGUUUGGAGCUGCAGGCUCGGGCUUUGCGGCGAAAGGAGGGUGCUUGUAGAGCCGGAGCUACACUGCACCGAGCCACCAUCUUGUUUCGACUGUUGGCUGUCCAUUUGGAGGAAGAUGUUGUCUCGGAUUUUACUCCCUCUGCUGCUGUGGGUUCUUGGUCGGCCGCACACAAGGGGAUCGGAGGAACUGGUUGGUAGUGCGGAGGGGUGAAGGUCAGCACACUGGGCAGGGGCAGCUUUGGAGCCAUGCUUCAGGCUGGUCCCACUGUCAAAGGAGCAUUUAAUGGCAUGGAAGUCGGUCUCGUAUGUGAUCCUGUGAGGAGAGGCGCUUCUGCCUUUGUGGUCUGUACGCAUCUUUGGAGGAUGGACGUCCACUGAUAUACUUCUCAGGUAGUGUGCAAGAGAUAUUGUAGAACUUUAAGGUGAGCUGGUUAAGGAAGUUAUCCGUGAACUUCAGGUAGGCUGGUCCCACUGUCAAAGGAGCAUUUAAUGGCAUGGAAGUCAGUCUCGUAUGUGAUCCUGCGAGGAGGCACUUCUUCUUUUUAUAAAACACUGGCCAUACAGCAAUAGAUGAUAUCCAUUACCUGACAUCUGACAUGUUAGCCACCUCUCUUUCUUUAGAAUAUAUAUUUUCUGAUGGAUCUCCUCUCUAUUUUAUGCUGCAGCUGUUACAUAUACUGUAAUUUUGUACACUGUAAACCCGAACACUUCUACAAACUCAUAACUAUUGCCGUCAACUAAACCAAAGUGAGUUGAUUAGUUCACCCGACACUGAAACAUUAAGUUUUCCUAACAAAUAAUAGCGUUUUGAGUUGACAACGGUUAGUAAGUGUAAGUGAACACUGUCCCUCAACUUGAAAAGUCCAAGUUAAAGGGCGCGCGUGAGGGGACGUGAUGUCUGACGCCACGACCCCUAACGGUUUAGGGCACGUAUCCAGAAAAUUCGAGAUGGCUGGACGCUAGUGGGAGGUGAGGCGGGAGCGAAGUAAAGUGGAAAAAGAGUGUUAUUCGUCAAAAAACCCACACGACAACGCUCAUUUUUUCGCUGUGCUAUUGUAAAAUUGUCUUUUAUCUGUGUUUUGUGUUCCGGGGGACCCUGACUCCAAAAUUUGAACGUUUCGCGGGUGAAGCCAGUGACUAACGUAGUAUAUUAACGUUUCAAAAGUUUAAUUCAGUGUACUUAGGCUAUCUUUUGUAAGACGCUGUGAAUGUUAUUUAUGUGAAAGCGUAUUACUUUAUUGUCAGUGUUGUUGCUAGGCCCAGGUCGCUAACGUUACUUUGUUACUGUCAACGACGUAAUGUUAACGUUAAGGGUAACGUCACGGAAACAGCCCUCCUUUGCCUUGAUUAAUAUGCAGAGGACGACGUGUUUCAAAUAUUGGUGAUAUGUUUUAAUUAAAGCACUUACUGCAUAUGUGAAAGUUUUUUUUUAAUUAUUAGACAUUGGAGAAAAAAGUUCAGGAGGUUUGUCUAACGGAGUCGCCCUCGCCAAUAAGGGAUUGACAACAUAAUACAGUACACUGUUCAUAAUCAUAUGCAUUUUGCAUCCUAAGUGACAUUAAACUGUUUGUGCUCUCUGUUAUGUUGAAGUACCAUAGAGUGGUUGGAAAUAAAGUUUGUCAUUUUGAGCAACACUGCUGAUUAUAUUGAUCUUGUGUGACGUCAUGCACACAACCUUUGCCCUUCGCCCGCAACACAUAGUUCAAGGAAGUCCAGGGGUGCGGGAAUUCCUGGAGAAUAGUCCGGCCUUGCGAAUGCAGUCACAGGUGUUUGCAGAGUUUCAUGGUAUUACACAUGUGGAUCUACGCAACCAGUUCUACUGUCAACUUGCCCACUACACACCAAAACUACUUGCACUGUAUCCAUUUUGAUAAACAUGUCUGUUAAAAUGUUGAAGGCACUUUUGUGUAUGCCCAGUGGGCUUUUUAUGACUUUAGAAUGAGAGGUAAAUAUUUUGUUAGUUUUAUUGUACAGCAUCCUUGACCUCACUGAUCUGAGUCAGACCUCAGUUGUAAUGAUGAUUCUGUUAUUUAUAUUAUAGUUUCUUUUAUUUAUUGUAUUUUAUUCUGUACUAUUUGGUAUGUUUUUUUUUUUUUCCUCAUUUGCACAAAUUUAGAUGUCUGUGCUGCUGCUUUCAGAACUUUUUUUUUUCUCCCUUGAGAAAAUACAUUGCAGAGAAAGGGAAGUUUGUUCAUCCCCGAUGAUUCAAAAUAGGCUGCUAAAAUAUAUUUGUGGAAAAAAAGAAGAAAAAAUUCGACUCCAGGUGUUGCACUUGAAUGUUAUUUGACAUUUCACAGUUUUACUACGCCUGU
Molecule: long non-coding RNA, 5308 nt
Organism: Nerophis ophidion (straightnose pipefish)
Lineage: Eukaryota; Metazoa; Chordata; Actinopteri; Syngnathiformes; Syngnathidae
Exons: 3
Source: RefSeq, a predicted model, not a curated record